This 500-nucleotide ribosomal RNA is filed under the name uncultured bacterium. RNAcentral's name for it is "partial 16S ribosomal RNA". It matches the Rfam family "Bacterial small subunit ribosomal RNA", at positions 30 to 523 of the family's 1533-position model. The record is from RNAcentral.
AUUGAACGCUGGCGGCAUGCUUUACACAUGCAAGUCGAACGGUAACAGGGUGCUUGCACCGCUGACGAGUAGCGAACGGGUGAGUAAUACAUCGGAACGUGCCCAGUCGUGGGGGAUAACGUAGCGAAAGCUACGCUAAUACCGCAUACGAUCUAAGGAUGAAAGCGGGGGAUCGCAAGACCUCGCGCGAUUGGAGCGGCCGAUGGCAGAUUAGGUAGUUGGUAGGGUAAAGGCCUACCAAGCCGACGAGCUGUAGCUGGUCUGGGAGGAUGAUCAGCCACACUGGGACUGAGACACGGCCCAGACUCCUACGGGAGGCAGCAGUGGGGAAUUUUGGACAAUGGGCGCAAGCCUGAUCCAGCCAUUCCGCGUGCAGGAUGAAGGCCUUCGGGUUGUAAACUGCUUUUGUACAGAACGAAAAGGCUCUGGUUAAUACCCGGGGCUCAUGACGGUACUGUAAGAAUAAGCACCGGCUAACUACGUGCCAGCAGCCGCCGCCG